This is an RNA transcript of Helianthus annuus (common sunflower), 2483 nucleotides long. RefSeq lists it as uncharacterized. NCBI's taxonomy places the organism in Eukaryota, Viridiplantae, Streptophyta, Magnoliopsida, Asterales, Asteraceae. The record is from RefSeq and is a predicted model, not a curated record. The transcript is spliced from 9 exons.
UUUUUUUUCUCUCAGCCGUUCCAUCUUCCUAAACAUCUUUAGGGUUUUUUACAUUGCAGCCGCCUGUUCUUCUCCGUGUUCAAUCUUCGAUCAUCAUCUCAAUUGUACACUCGAAACCCUAGCGCCUCCCUCACAUUUUCUGCAGAUCCAUAUGUUUGAAUGGAAGAGUUUCACAAUCACGAAACCCUAGCCCUCAUCAUCUUCCCUGUUUUGAUUCAAGAAGCAAAUUGGCGACAGUUCGGGGACUUCUCUGUCGGAGAUGACGUUUACAGAAAGAAGCAAGUCCACAACUUCUUUGUUGGAGACAACGUAUACAGAGAGCAGCAAAUCGGCGGCAAGUUGAAGUUUGGUUCCAAAACAGAAGAGCCUCCAUGAGUUUUGUAAACCUCCAAUUUAUCAUAUUUCAUGUUUUAGUUGUUGUUGUUAUUAUACAUACUGUCAAUUAGUUUUUACUGUUCUCCUGUUCGUCCAGAAACCCUAACGAAACUGUUGAUAUUGGAGAUCCAUAAGGCUGUGAACAGGUAAGGCAUCACCAGAAAGCUUUACAAGCGGUGAUUUUUACGGUUUUUGGAGUAUUUGGAGAACCAGAAAUGAGGCCAUAUUCGUAUCUAAAACCCUUUUGGUUUCAAAGGUUUUGGAGGAAACGAAUGCAAUGUCUUUCCUUUGGGUUACAAGUCGGGCAAAAAGGAUAAAUCGUCUGUUAAAGACCCUGGCAUACGUGGCAUAUUGAAAAUGACGAGAGAGGUUUGUUUUUCAGCCUAAUGAUCCAUCAUUGUCUGUUAAGCUUAAUGUGGAGUUUAGAUUAAUAAAAUGACAUAAAUCGAGUAAGGAGGGUGCGAACAGACUUGCUUUACUUAAUCUUACUCAAGAUCAGGGUAAUAAUAUAUUCGAGUUCAAGAAUUUCUCAGAUAGGGAGAUUUGCAGGGACUUUGUAGGUGAGGUGUUUUGGACUUUUGGUGUUGUUUUCAUCUGAAUCUUUUUUUUUAUCUUGAUUUUGUUUUUGUUUUGGUUUAUGAUGUACAUGUUUGUCGAUGUGUUUAGAUAUCAUUGUUUUUUUCUUGAGCCCUAAUCAUAUUAUGGAUUUUGGUUUGGCCUUUCAAUGAUAUGGAUUUUGGUUUGGCCUUCUUUCUUCAAUCCUCUGCUCCAUUCAACCUUCAAUGAUAUGGAUUUUGAGAAUGAGAGCCAGGGAGAGAAAGAGAGGAUUUGGGAGAAACAGACCGCUAAUUUCCAUUUUGGUUUCUAGAAUUGGUGAAUCGGGAGAUGCUGAUGAUUUUCAACUCGUGGUGGUGUUGUCAUACAAGUUUGUUGGUCUGGAGUGGAAUAGCGGGUUCCUUCAACAUUCGGCACCACCAAAGCUGUCAAGGUAAAGACCCAGAUUACAUAUAAUAUUGGACUUAAAUGUGUGUGUGUGCGCGCGCGCGCGUGUUUUAGGUGGCACGCGGUCCAUUUGUGUGUUUGCUGAUGAGAUGGGAAGCAGUUCGGUUUCUCCGCUAAUCGUGACAGGUGGAAAAGGCGGAGAUGUCGGAGUUCAUGAUUUCCGUUACAUAGCCACACGAAUACCAAAAAAACACAAGAAUUCUGAUAACGAUGAACAAAAGUUCAGUGCAUCUUCAACCGCAGGUUUGCAUAAUAAACACAGGGACCAAAAUGGAAAUGGAAUGUUGUGGUACAUACCAAAAGCUCACUCUGGUUUUUUCUUAACUGGAAGUAAAGAUAGAGAUGUAAAGCUAUGGGAUGCUAAGAGGGCAAAAUUGGUAUAUCACUGGCAAAAACAUGCACGAUAGACACACCUUUAUUCAACCUAGCUCUAGAGCAUUUGGAGGAGUUGUUAGGUUAAGCUGGUUUAACUUAGAGAUUUACUAUAAUCCACUUGGCCCAUGUCUGCCGGCCCAUCGUCGGCGUCCUGUUUUUGGUGCUGUUCCAGUUAAGCUGUUUUUUUUUCUUCCUUUCCGACUGGUCCGUGGCCUGUUUUUGGUGUCCUUCCAGUUUAAGGCAAUUUUUAGUUCCUUUUCGACUAUACCUACGAGUUACGAGUGGCAUGUGUGUGUAUAUAUGCAUAGAGUACAUCAUGAAACCAAUUACUUAAAAAUAGUCUUAUAUGUUUAUUUUAAUAUUAAAACUAAAUAUCAUGUGGAGAUCAAGAAAGUUGCGUUAAGCAUUCAGGAAAUUGCAGGAAAUUGCUGUGUACAUAUACAGACGAUACGAGUAUGUUCUAUGGAAUGAAGUUCUUCAAUGACUUACUAAUGGAAGCUGGCCCGAUCGUAAAUAUACAGUCGGGAGUACUACUACAAAAAGAUUAGAACACAUUCACUUUCAUGCAAGGAUUGACUGAGUUGCCUUAACACUCGUCAUAACGCUAAAUCUAUAAGUUAUUUAUAAGAUAUGUGUACUCGAUUUGUGUUAAGUUUUGAAUUUGUAUCGUGAUUUGUUAAAUUUGAUAAACAAAAUUUAAGAUAUUGGUAUUUGGUUAUGGUCAAGAUCUA